CCUACGGGCGGCAGCAGUGGGGAAUAUUGCACAAUGGUGGAAACCCUGAUGCAGCGACGCCGCGUGAGUGAAGAAGUAAUUCGUUACGGAAAGCUCUAUCAGCAGGGAAGAAAAUGACGGUACCUGAGUAAGAAUCCCCGUCUAACUACGUGCCAGCAGCCGCGGUAAUACGUAGGGGGCAAGCGUUAUCCGGAUUUACUGGGUGUAAAGGGAGCGUAGACGGUUCGCCAAGUUUGGCGGGAAAUGCCGCAGCUUAACUGCGGAACUGCGUUGGAAACUGGCGAACGAGAGUGCGGGAGGGGUAAGCGGAAUGCCUAGUGUAGCGGUGAAAUGCGUAGAUAUUAGGAGGAACACCGGUGGCGAAGGCGGCUUACUGGCUCGUAACUGACGUUGAGGCUCGAAAGCGUGGGGAGCAAACAGGAUUAGAUACCCCAGUAGUC
This 440-nucleotide ribosomal RNA is filed under the name uncultured bacterium. Its description in RNAcentral is "partial 16S ribosomal RNA". It matches the Rfam family "Bacterial small subunit ribosomal RNA", at positions 338 to 795 of the family's 1533-position model. The record is from RNAcentral.